RNAcentral lists this ribosomal RNA (253 nucleotides) under uncultured bacterium. Its description in RNAcentral is "partial 16S ribosomal RNA". It matches the Rfam family "Bacterial small subunit ribosomal RNA", at positions 524 to 776 of the family's 1533-position model. The record is from RNAcentral.
UACAGAGGGUGCGAGCGUUAAUCGGAUUUACUGGGCGUAAAGGGCGCGUAGGUGGUUGUAUAAGUGAGAUGUGAAAUCCCUGGGCUUAACCUAGGAACUGCAUCUCAUACUGUAUAGCUAGAGUAUUGUAGAGGGUAGUGGAAUUUCCGGUGUAGCGGUGAAAUGCGUAGAGAUCGGAAGGAACACCAGUGGCGAAGGCGGCUACCUGGACAAAUACUGACACUGAUGCGCGAGAGCGUGGGGAGCAAACAGG